Long non-coding RNA from Manis javanica (Malayan pangolin), 750 nucleotides. RefSeq lists it as uncharacterized. Lineage: Eukaryota; Metazoa; Chordata; Mammalia; Pholidota; Manidae. The record is from RefSeq and is a predicted model, not a curated record.
ACCCUACCUCGGACCUGGGGACACCCUGGGGAGGAGGCUGGCGUAGAACCGGAGUCUGGGCGCCUCCCUCCCCCCGCGGCGAACAAUAGCCGCCGCCUCCACCAGGCGGUCGGGCGGUCCCGCGCCGCACAAAGACCGGCGGGGCCCGCGCCGCCGCGAGACGCGCGCGGGCUCUCCGCUCUCCCGGCCGGCGGCGGGGCGCCGGAGCAGCCAGGCUGGGGGUGGUGGGUGUUCCUGAAUGCACCUGGAACCCUUUCGGAAAGACAAACGCCGUUCCUCCUACUUCAGAACAAGCCUGGGCCAGCUGGGAUCCGACCAGAAACCGCAAGCGGAGGAGACGUGGGCACCCAGGGUGGGCGCUAACAGGGGGCGCGAGGCCGGAGGGAGCGCCAGCCGGUCACCUCCUCGCUCCGUGGCGGGCACCACCCGCCUGCGGACCACGCAGGGUGCCCAGGCCCCUCUGAAGACCCUACGCGACCCCCUGAAGGGGCCGAAUCUAACUCUGAUGGCAGGACAAGAAAAAUUCCAAUGCGUCAGAAGGUUUUUGCAGGCACUGUUUUAUUUUUAAAAAGUCUGAAAAAGAUGUCUGAGGAAUUAGAAUUCAGGGUAUGGUCUGAAGUAGUUUGGUUGUCUUACUUGCGCAUAGAAGUAUUUGUGUAUUUGGGAGGACGCAGGAUAAGACCUCUCUGUUGAACUGGAACUAGACGAAUGCCAUUUAAAGUAACAAUAAAAAUGUACUUAAAACACCAA